This 322-nucleotide ribosomal RNA is filed under the name uncultured Bacillota bacterium. Its description in RNAcentral is "bacterial SSU rRNA". It matches the Rfam family "Bacterial small subunit ribosomal RNA", at positions 28 to 351 of the family's 1533-position model. The record is from RNAcentral. Lineage: Bacteria; Bacillati; Bacillota.
GACGAACGCUGGCGGCGUGCUUAACACAUGCAAGUUGAACGGGGAUAUUGUUUCGGACGAUAUCUUAGUAGCGGACGGGUGAGUAACGCGUGAGCAACCUACCUUUGUGAGGGGACAACGGCUGGAAACGGCUGCUAAUACCGCAUAAGGCCACGGCUCCGAGUGGAGCAGAGGUCAAAGAUUUAUCGCACAAAGAUGGGCUCGCGUCCCAUUAGCUAGUUGGUGAGGUAACGGCCCACCAAGGCAUCGAUGGGUAGCCGACCUGAGAGGGUGAUCGGCCACACUGGAACUGAGACACGGUCCAGACUCCUACGGGUGGCAG